AAUGCGCAUGCGCGAGGAGCGAGCCGCUUCUCCCCAUCACAGCGAUUCCCAGGGUUGUCAUAGAAACCACUCCCUGGGGCUUGGCAAAGCAGGAGCCCUCCGUGGCAGGGCUUCGGUGUCGGGGCUCCGAGGCUCCGGCCUGACUUCUCCACGGGGUCCACAGGAGCGUCUCCGGAUGCCAGGACCUGAAAUGGGCCGACCAGGAUGAGGAAACCACAGGCAGAGGCCGGGGAAGCAGCGCGGCAUCCCAUCCUCAGGCCUGCCCGGACGGUGUUCGGGAUCAAGAGGACCACACUCCAGCCCAGGACAAAAGCCCCACGGUAGCACAUUGUCCGGCAGGAGAGGAGCAGACCCACGUCCAAGAAGAUGGUUGUACCUUUCCACGCCUCUUCUCUGCGAAAUGAAGCCACACCAUGACACAAUCUUGAAGAGGAAGCCGGGAAUGGGAGACGGCAACAAUCCCUGUCCCUGGAACGCUGGCCUCUAUGGACAAGCCACCCGCUUCGCACCCCUCCCCUUAUGCCCGUGGCGGUGGCACGGCGCCGUAUCCUGCCUGGGCUCUGGCCUCUGCUCUGUCCUCCCUCUUCCACUGUCUCCCCUGUUUCUCAGCGGCCUAGAUGCCUCUUGGUCUGGCUGAAUAUCUUCUAUGAAGAUCACUUCCCCGUCCAUCAGGGAGACAAUUCCUGGAGAUUCGUGUCAUGACUGUUUCUCUCUCCAAACCUGUUUCUGCUGGAUUGCGCAGGUCUGAUGACCCUGGAGCUCUUGGCUUCCAUACGUGUCUCAGACAGCAUACUCUUCCCCUUUAAAUAUUGAAGCCUCAGCAUCGUCUUUGGAGAAAGGCACAGACCACAGAUUGUUUAUAUGAUUCUGUGUUUUUUCCUUCCAACUUGUCCUUAAUCUUGGCAAAAUAAACUUCUAAAUUGA
RNAcentral lists this long non-coding RNA (924 nucleotides) under Homo sapiens (human). Its description in RNAcentral is "long intergenic non-protein coding RNA 2693". The record is from RNAcentral. Lineage: Eukaryota; Metazoa; Chordata; Mammalia; Primates; Hominidae.